GAACGUAUAGCUCAGGGGUAGAGCGCAGGCUUAGCAUGCAUGAGGUCCUGGGCUUAAUCCCCAGUACCUCCA
RNAcentral lists this transfer RNA (72 nucleotides) under Camelus dromedarius (Arabian camel). It matches the Rfam family "tRNA". Rfam says of the family: Transfer RNA (tRNA) molecules are approximately 80 nucleotides in length. Their secondary structure includes four short double-helical elements and three loops (D, anti-codon, and T loops). The record is from Rfam by way of RNAcentral. RNAcentral also lists the same sequence under 1 other name. Lineage: Eukaryota; Metazoa; Chordata; Mammalia; Artiodactyla; Camelidae.